GAUGAACGCUGGCGGCGUGCCUAAUACAUGCAAGUCGAGCGAACGGACGAAAAGCUUGCUUUUCUGAUGUUAGCGGCGGACGGGUGAGUAACACGUGGAUAACCUACCUAUAAGACUGGGAUAACUUCGGGAAACCGGAGCUAAUACCGGAUAAUAUUUUGAACCGCAUGGUUCAAAAGUGAAAGACGGUCUUGCUGUCACUUAUAGAUGGAUCCGCGCUGCAUUAGCUAGUUGGUAAGGUAACGGCUUACCAAGGCAACGAUGCAUAGCCGACCUGAGAGGGUGAUCGGCCACACUGGAACUGAGACACGGUCCAGACUCCUACGGGAGGCAGCAGUAGGGAAUCUUCCGCAAUGGGCGAAAGCCUGACGGAGCAACGCCGCGUGAGUGAUGAAGGUCUUCGGAUCGUAAAACUCUGUUAUUAGGGAAGAACAUAUGUGUAAGUAACUGUGCACAUCUUGACGGUACCUAAUCAGAAAGCCACGGCUAACUACGUG
This 497-nucleotide ribosomal RNA is filed under the name uncultured bacterium. RNAcentral's name for it is "partial 16S ribosomal RNA". It matches the Rfam family "Bacterial small subunit ribosomal RNA", at positions 28 to 507 of the family's 1533-position model. The record is from RNAcentral.